RNAcentral lists this microRNA precursor (61 nucleotides) under Acyrthosiphon pisum (pea aphid). Its description in RNAcentral is "microRNA api-mir-3029 precursor". Lineage: Eukaryota; Metazoa; Arthropoda; Insecta; Hemiptera; Aphididae. The record is from miRBase by way of RNAcentral.
UUGGUAACAUCAACCUCUUUAGCGAAUAUUUGACGCACUAAAGACGUAAAUGUUACCUGCG